GACGAACGCUGGCGGCGUGCCUAAUACAUGCAAGUCGAGCGAACACAAGAGGAGCUUGCUCCUCUUUGUUAGCGGCGGACGGGUGAGUAACACGUGGGCAACCUGCCUGUAAGACUGGGAUAACUUCGGGAAACCGGAGCUAAUACCGGAUAAUCCUUUUCCUCUCCUGAGGAAAAGUUGAAAUUCGGUUUACGCUGACACUUACAGAUGGGACCGCGGCGCAUUAGGUAGUUGGUGAGGUAACGGCUCACCAGGGCGACGAUGCGUAGCCGACCUGAGAGGGUGAUCGGCCACACUGGGACUGAGACACGGCCCAGACUCCUACGGGAGGCAGCAGUAGGGAAUCUUCCGCAAUGGACGAAAGUCUGACGGAGCAACGCCGCGUGAGCGAUGAAGGCCUUCGGGUCGUAAAGCUCUGUUGUUAGGGAAGAACAAGUAUCGGAGUAACUGCCGGUACCUUGACGGUACCUAACCAGAAAGCCACGGCUAACUACGUGCCAGCCGCCGCCGUAA
Molecule: ribosomal RNA, 513 nt
Filed under: uncultured bacterium
Lineage: Bacteria
Description: partial 16S ribosomal RNA
Rfam family: Bacterial small subunit ribosomal RNA
Source: RNAcentral